This 20023-nucleotide long non-coding RNA is filed under the name Medicago truncatula (barrel medic). Its description in RNAcentral is "long non-coding RNA (MTRU_LNC000957)". Lineage: Eukaryota; Viridiplantae; Streptophyta; Magnoliopsida; Fabales; Fabaceae. The record is from RNAcentral.
ACCACUUCCACCUUUCAAUUCACUUGCUCCACAACCUACCUCUCUACCACCUUAUUCACCUGUUCCAAACCCACCUCAUGAUGUUUUUAGACCACCACCAAGUCCUAAAACCAUUGUUACAAUGUCGCCGCCGCCACCUCCAAGCCCAUCAAAACAUGUUCCAAGCCCACCUAAAAGUGUUAUAGGCCCACCUCAAGUAUACUUGCCACCUAUUGUUUAUCCACCACCACCUUCAACUCAUAAGAAGCCACCACAAUAUGCUAUUUGGUGUGUGGCAAAGCCUACAGUUCCUGAUCCUAUAAUUCAAGUGGCUAUGGAUUAUGCCUGUGGGUCUGGGGCUGACUGUAAAUCAGUUCAGCCUAAUGGGAUAUGCUUUCAGCCCAACACAGUGUUGGCACAUGCUUCUUAUGCAUUUAAUAGCUAUUGGCAGAACACUAAGAUUGGUGGGGGGACUUGUGAUUUUGGUGGUACUGCUAUGCUUGUCACUGUUGAUCCAAGUAAGUUUGCACUACGUACCAUAUUUGAUUACCUUUGUUAAAGAGAUUAAUUUUCAUAUAUUUCAUUUUUUUUUGUAAGUAAUUUUUCCAUGUAUUUCAUGUUCUACACUGUUAGCACAUUUACAUGUUGAUCUAAUGAUAAAAAAAAAAAAAAAAUUUUGAAUCGGCAAAAUAUUAUAUGUAUGGACCGUAAAAGUUGAUUAUGAUAAAAUUUAAACAGUUGAUUAGGAUAAAUAAUUUAAUUUUUUGGUACAAAUAAUAAAAUAAAUUUUAAUGAAAUUAUAUGACAAAAUUAACACUUCACAUGUUUCAUAUAUAUCGAGAUUCUUUUUUUGUUACAAUGAGAUCCUUUUAUUUAGCUGUUAGUUAAGUCAUUUCACAUCACAUCACAUACUAUAUAUAUCCACACAACAGGCAUAUGCCACUUGAUUUCUUUUAAAUUGGAAUCUAUCCGGGUAGAGAAAACAUGAAUUCAUGACAUCGGUAGCCGGCGUCUGAUUAAAAAUAAAGGUUUUUUUUAAAUUACCUUUAAAGAAUGGUGGGUAAUUUAUCCACCAACCAAUGAAAAUGAGCAAUUUAUUUGUGGAGUCAAGAUAGUUCAUGAAUAUGUGUUUAUGUGGCUAAUGUGUAUUGGUUGGGGUAAAUUACCCAUCAUUCUUUCAUGGGUAGCCUAGUUGCCACCAAAAAUAAAUGGUUCAAAUAAAUAUAUAUUUUAAUUUAUAAUUUAAAAAAAUAUCAAAUUUAAAUAUGAAUGGUUUAAUCUUGAUCAAACAACUAUUGAUGUGCUAUUGUGUGAUGUGUGCUUGAUCCCCUUUCUUCUUUUGAGGUGCAUUCUUCAUUGUCACACUCGGUGGUAUUAGAUUCGCGCACAGUCACUUAAAGCCCACAUUCACCUAUUCAAAACGUUGUUGACUUAUAUGGAUCAAGAUCUAAAGGAAUUUUAAGCUGGUUUUUAAGAUAAAAAACAAAAAUCAAACCUUAAAACCUGCAUUGUUCGAUCUAGAGUCAACGAUCACCGACAUGGUGAAAGUGAAUUUUUGUAACUACAUGGAAUGCAUAUUUCGUAGUCUUUUCAAUUUAGAACUAUGGAUUAUUGCUUCAGACUAACAUUUCCCUCAAAUCCUCGAUUUAUUUGGCAGGUUAUGACAAGUGCAGCUUCAAGUCGACUUAGCUCAUUGCUUGCUAUAAUACAUAGCAUUUGGAGACUUACCAAAUAUUGAAAACUUCUUGUUCCAAUGUAAUUUUUUAUGCAACGAUAAAUUCCCUUACUUAAUUAGAUACAUUAUUUGGAGUUACCUUGAUCAUAGUAUAUUCCGCCCUUGCUUAAUUUUGUGUAGUUCUAUAUAUUUCUAAAAUGGUAGGUUUAAUAUAUAUAUUCAUGACCAUAAUUUGAUAUUUAGAGAUGUAUGUAGCUCUAUUACGUUUCUGGUUCUUUAGUUUAAAACUUAGAUAAGCACCCAUCUUUUGUGUAUUACUAUCAGCGUUAUAAUCCUUGAAAACUUAGAUAAGCACCCAUCUAAAUGCAUAUAAGGUUAAGACAAUACCGACAUCAAAAUGCAGGUUGAAUACAUUAUCCGACUAAAAUCCAUUUCGCUUUCUUCAUGCAUGUGCUCUACAGUUAUCUUCAAUGAAUAAAACAGUAGUUACCUUCAGCCAGCUUGUAAUAUGUUGUCGCACCUGCGAAGCUAAUUUGCAUUCAAAAAAUAAGUGAGAAACAUUUUCCUGCGAAGCUAAUGAAGUGUACGGAAAAAUAAAUAAAAAAUUUACAUUUUAUUAUAACAAAGCAAACAAUUUACUCUAUUGCUUUUUUCUUUAAAAAAAAAUAAAAAAUUUACUUUAUUGUUUCGUGGUGUUUUUUUUAUUCAUUUACUUACUGAUAAAAAACUCAUAUAGACAAAAGAACUGAGUUAAGUGAGAAAAAAAAUGAGAUUAUAGCUAGUAUUGAUAUUUUUACUAAUGUAUUUCGAAAAAUAUUUCAUUCUGUUGGUGUAUAAAAAUUUACAUUAGAAGCAGGGAGGGAACCAUAUUUAACGGUAUAAGAUAGGAAAGAAAAAACAAAUUACUUUACCCAAAAAAAAAAAAAAACAAAUUUUUAUUUGCAAAUAUAAUGCACACAUGAAAUUUAAGAAAUUAUAUGUUACUUCCCUCAUUUCCUUUUUUUAAGUGUUUUUUUAGAAAAUUAACACAAAAAUCACGAAGUGUAUUUUUUGCACAUUUUCUUCCUAGUAUACCCUCAUUUUAAUCCACUAAUAAAUUUCAAUUGUUUUGCAAACACUUUAUCUUUCCAAUAAAUUUAAUAUGUUAUAUUUCUCUCAUUGUGAGUUACUAUUAUCUUUUUCUCCAACAAAUUCCUAUUUUUUUACAUGCACUCUCUCAUAACAAACAAUUGUCAAUUUUCUAAAUAUUGUGUACAUCUUUUCAAUUAUUUUAAGUCAAUAUAAAAAUUAAAUUGAUGAAACUUCUUCUUCUUCAUUGUCAUCUUGUUCUUGUUCUUGUAUCUUGUCGAAUGAGUUUUCAACUAUUGCUCCCUCUUCACAUCUCAUCAUCAAUUUCAACGAGUCUUCCACUUUUUCAUCCUUUUGAGCAUACUACAUGGAGUCUUUUAUUUUUCUUCUCUCAAAUCUUUUAUUUUACUUUGCCCUUGAAAUUUUUAACAAUUGAUACUCAUCUUAGUUAUCGAAUUUUAACUCUUCUUGGAACCAUUGUUUGUAACAAAAUUUUGUUUAAAUUUGAAGAUAACAAGAAACAAACUUUGUUUAAAAAAAAACUGUGUUCCAAAUAGAUAGCAUUAAUUAGUUUUAUUGAAAAAGCUAAAAGUAAUUGGCAAAGGGUAUAAUUGACAAAUCGUAAUUUAAAAUACCAAAAAGACAGUAAAAUAGGAACGGAAAAUUCACCAUAAAAAGACACUUAAAAAUGAACGGAGGAAGUAUAUCCAAAGUUAAUAUGUAUCGAAAAUUGUGUUCAUGUGUAAUUUAUUUGUUGUUUUUUGUUGCCGUUGUUUCUUUAGUGGCACUUUGACUCUGUAAAUACUUGUCGGUGGUUCUCCUUUUGCAUACCUUAUACAGGUUGAACCACUCUGAUUUUAUUAAUAUCUCAUUUUGAUUUGUUAAAAAAAAAUGUAUCUAAAAUUAUAAGAAAUUUCAAAGAUGUUAGAAAAAUGAGUUCCUUGAGGCUUCUUUGAGUGUGACCAAAGAAGAUUUUUUUAAUAGUAGAGAUAGGAAAUAAGAAACAACAAGAAUGUAAAUGUAGGAGAAGAAAUUCAAGAUAAUAUCACAAACAUUAGUAGUGACUGAAAGGGCGCAAACAACACCGCGUGCAAUAUUUCUUACAGUUUGAGUGAAAUUGCAACAAAUAAUCACAAAUUAAUAUUCUAGUUAAGGUUCUUCUAAUUGCAUAAAAAAAAACUCACUUUAUUUCUCAAUUUCUCAAUGUUAUGCAUUCUAGUUAAGGAUUUGUGUUAUUAAAAUUUGAAAGUUAUACAAUGCUAAAUAUACUGAGUAAAAAAAAGUUCAUUAUACAAAAUCAUAUUAAGUUCACAGAAAAUAGUAUAGUGACAAAAAAAUAAAAAUAAUAAUAACAUACUAAUAUGAAGGGAACCAUGGCCUAUGUUAGUCUCCGUUCUAGUUUCAUCCCUGAUUGCAAAGUAUAUCAUAAUGCAAUCUUGUGUAGCUACGAUAAGAAUUAAAUAUUUUCAAUUAUCUACUAAUAGUAAUGAUUAAUUGACAAUGCAAGUACUCUUUACACCUGCAUUGCAUAUGAAUUAGAAGUCACUUUGUUGGCAUAUCACUCCUCAAUCUUGUGAUCCUCCGUUCAAAACUAGCGGUAUGGUAACAAAACCCAUAUAUGUGGGUAUCCGUUUGAACCAAACUUAAAUUGACGGGUUUUUUUUAUUUUAAUUGGGUUUGGGUUUGUCUCGAUUUCAAAAGAUAGAUACGGGACGGGUAACAGGAAUAUAGGUACUCAUCUCAAACCCAUCCUGAAUGUAGAAAAUUAAUUUAUUACCCAUUUUAUAUAAAUAAAAACUCAAACCCUAAAUCAUUUCACUCAUACAAUCAGAGUCUCGGUCUUUCAGAUGACACAAUUAUCAUAGUUCUUUCUUUUCUCCUUCAAUAUUCCACACUCUCAGCCUCUCUCUUCUUCAUCACCAUAGUCAUCGAUCGUCGUCAUCUUUUUACUGAAUAAUGCAUUAGUCAUUACAACUUUGCGCUCGGGGAUAAAAAAUACUUUUAUUUUUAAUAAAAAAAAAUUAUCCACUUCGGGGAUGGGAAUGAGGCGGGGAUGCCCAAACCCGUCGGGGACAUGGAUGAGAUUCGAUUUCUCAUCUCCGCUGAAUAUGGGUAUGGUAACGGGUAAGUAUUUGAAAAUAUGGUAUGAGGACGGGGAAGGUAAAACUCAUCCUCACCCUACCCCAUUGUGAUGCCUAUUCAUGAAGCACAUAUAUUUAGGUAAAUAUUAGAAUAGAAUAACAUUGGAAUGAAAUAAUGACAAAAUUAUCUCUUCACAUGUUUCAUAUUGAGACUCUUUUAUUUACAAUGAGUUCCUUAUUUCGUCGUUAUAGUUUAAGUGAUUUCACAUCACAUACUAUACCCUAACAACAAAGACAUAUUAUGCCACUUGGUUUCGGUACACAUUUCAUUGUCACGCAUCGUCGUCUUAUGGUUGUUGUGCCUUCAAUUUAGUUAAAACUAUGGGCUAUUGCUACAGACUGACAUUUUCCUCAAAAUCAAAACCACCGUUUAUUUGGCAGGUUAUGCAACUUCAUGUUGACUUCCUUCUAUUGAAAACCUCUCUUUCCAACGUAAUUUUUACGUAGCAAUACAUCCCCUUUGCUUAAUUAGUGACAAUAUUUGAAGUUACCCUACCUUGAUCAUCAUCAUCCCUUGCUUAAUUGGUGACGAUAUUGGAAGUAACCUUCAUCAUCUUCUUUGUGGUUUUUCUAGGAAUUCUUUAGGUGUCUUCGAGUUUGGAAGCAUACAAUCAUUUUUGUAAUAAUUAAAAAUUAAAAUUGUUACAAACUUCUAAAACACGGAAGGGUGAUUGAGUUGUCCUCGUGGAGUCAUGUGUCCAAUUGGUUAUAUAUACAAUCAUAUUAUAAUAGUCGUAUAUACGUAAACAUUUUUUAAAAAAAUAUGUACCACACUUUAAAAAUUCACAUAUGCAUUAAUUAAUUUACUUUUAACCUUAUCUUCUAAUAUAUUAUUAUAAAUUAAUUAAUAGUUAUUUUAAGAAAAACCAAUAAACAAUAUAACGCAAACUUGAAACAAAGAGUGAAUCAAGGAGAAUCUACAAAAUAAGUAGAGUAAUGUAUAAUUAAUACAGAAAAAAAAUUAACAAAUAAAAUUUAUCUCACCUUACCAAUGGAGAUUUUAUCUAUUGGAAAUGGUUGAUAUACUUACAAUUAGUUUUCGACACACAUCGAAUAUGAUUAUCUCCAAUUUAUGUGGCGGAAAAACUUAUCACACACGUUAGAAAAAGAAAAAAGUGUUUAUUUUUCUAGUUCCAUGAGUUUCUACAAGGUUUUUUUUACUUCACUAGCUAGUGAUGACUCGCAUGUGAGAUUUGCGAGUGCAACUUAACAUAUGUGAUUUUGAGACCACGAGAGAAGCAUAUAAUUUUUUUUUUUAAAGUACUAUAAAAUAAUAAUAAAAUUUGAACAUAUAUAUGAAAUGUGGUUGUAUCUUUCAGCAUGGAUUAGAACUUUGUUUGUCAUGUUUAUGAGAGUUUAAUCUCUUGCGCUAAAUUCAACCUUAUUGGUGAAUCUAGAUUUUUUUUUUUAUGUAUAUAUGUAUAUAUAUAUAUAUAUGAUGUUUCUAACCUAAUUAAGAGUUAUAUGUUGUAAUAAUAUUAUAUAAUUGUCUUUUUACUCCUUUUCGAUCUUGAGUUAUUUUGGGACGGGAAAAUAUCUUUAUUUUGGUUUUCAUAUAACUAUUCCCCCUUUUUUGUGAAUCCAAAGCAUUGCUUGAAAACUUUUAUUAUCAGCAUUGCUCGAAAGUUGAAACUAUUCCCGCUGGAUUCAAAGUUUUCAACUUCACUAAUUUCUUUGAAAAGAAAAUACUAUAAAACUUCACUGACAUGUUACGUUACAUUUGGAAGCCAGUCAUGUACCGUAAUAAUUGAAGAAAAAAUAUUAUCAGCCGACACUAAAUGCAUAAAAGGUUAAGACAUUACCGAUCCAUGUUUUGUCGUUGAACAAUUAGUCAAAUGUUAAUUGGUUUCAUUCAGAAUUAAGUGUAAAAAAUUUGAUGAUGAUAAUGAAAGAGACUUGAGUGUAUUACCCGACUAAAAUCCAUUUCGCUUUCUUCAUGUGCUCUAGAUCUACAAUUACCUGCUACACAUUCCAAUGGAUAAAUUCUGGUAAUUAUAAAUGUGAUUACUUAAAAUAUAUAUGGUGGCUUCUUAAACUAAAUUAUAUAAAUUGUUAUCGUUAAAAAGCGACUUUUAGAGUUUAUAGCAACAAUCGUAUCUAUUUGUUCACGGGUUUUUGGAUUAAGUUAGAUUUAGGCUAUUGGUCAUUUCAGUCCACUUAUAAAAAUGGAAGGAUGGAUAUUAUUUUAUUAAUUUACACCAUUCGGAGAAUUUCCUUAUUUUGUAUCAAGUCAAAUAAAAAUUAUAGCCUCAACUCUGGCAAAUUAUUUGCAACAUGUUACCCAAUAGUCUACAUUAUAUAUCUAUUAAAAAUCUUAAUAUCUUGUACAAACAUUGUGUAUAAAUCUUUAUUCGAUCAGUUAUAACAAAUUACAUAGACAUAUAGUGUGUUCGAUCGAGAAAAAUAAAUAAAAGAUUGGACAUGAUAACUACAUUUAUACUAUGUGAUUGUAAAACUACAUCAGGAACUAGAUAAACUUAGAGGGUAAAGGACACGAUAAAAAUUGAAAUUAUUAUCAUUUACUAAAUCAGAAUACAACUUUUUGCCUCAAAUACAAGUGAAUAAAAUACCCAAAUAGACUUUUAUCCACCAAGGAUCGUCGUCUAAGAUAAAAAAAAUUGUUCAAUAUAAUUAAAGUUAGUAAUGUGUCUUAUGUCUUAUUCCGUGUUCUUAUGUCCAAUACUUACAUUUUUAGAUAAUCAAACGUAUUCAUCCUGUUGAAGUACAUGGAGUCGAUACAAGUUAAGAACACAGUGGCUUGGGUUAGGUGAUAGAUGUACAAUCGUAUAGCUUAUAGGUCAAUUCUAACAUGUUUCUGAAAGUCAUUUUGUAUGGAGGUGUGUUAUUUGAACAAUCAUUUGAAUGAUAACUUUUGUGACAACCACUAAUUUACAAAGGAAAGUAGAUAGUGACACGGAAACCAAAGUAAUAGAGAGAUAAAGUAAAAAAAUAAUGUGAGUAUGAAAAAUAAAAUUGUCACAAAAUGGUUGUCAAAAUAUCAUUUCUCUUUUGUAUAACAUGCACAAAUAUUUAAAAGAUAAAUGAUAUUUGUAUAACCAUUUUUUUGACAACUUUUAGACAAUUUUCUCUCUCAUAUUCACGUUAUAUUCUUAACCUUUCUUUUCCUUUUUCUCUCUCCUUUGUUUUUAACCAAUAAAAAGAGAGGAAAAAAAAGUUGUCAAGAAAGUUGUUAGCAAAUAGUUGUUCAAAUAUCAUUGCUCGAGUUAAAAUCGUGCUCACUAAACACAAAUGAUUUUUGACGAAGUUUUGUGUAGGCACAAGCAUUUCGGCGCACAUACAUAAAUCAAAAAAAUUAAAAGAUAAAUAAAACAGUCACAUCAAUCAAUAUCAUUUUAAUCAUUUAGUUUUUAAUUUUUUUUUAACUUCAUGGAUGCGUACCUAAAUGUGAGGUGUUGGUCAUAUGACCAAAUAAGAGAUUUUCAUGAUUUUUUUACCAUAAGAUCAAAAAGUUAUAUCAUAUCUCAUUUUAUUACAUUUUUUCUUUAAUGGUGGGGUUUAUUGGUUUCUAAAAAUAUAUCAAUUACCACCCUUUGUUUUCAAAUUCUUUAACCCCGUCACUAAAAACAUAAAAGUAUUUGGAGUAGGUUUAUUUUGUGAAAACAUUUUAAGUUUUCUAGAAUUUAUAUUUUUAAGCAAAAGUGAAUUGCAAAAAUUUAAGCGAGAUUUUUUAUCACAAGUUUACAAUUAUGGUGAAAUCGAAGAACUUAACUACUUAGGUUGUAAACUAAGAACAUUUUAUUAACAAAGAACCAAAAACAGGCAUGAUGGAGUGCAUAGACCAAAAUCUAAAGAAAAAACAUCAAACAGAAAUAAAGGGAAACUAUGUCGAUUAUUAUAACAACAAUCCUCUAAAAUAAAUCUAGGUGGAAGAGUCCACCAAAUAUAACGUUUAGAUUAAAAACCAAAUCCCGCUAUAAAUAUGAGAGAUUACAAUUAAUUGCAUUUGAGAACACAAUGACAAAGCAUUGCGUUGUCUUUUUUUUUUUUUUUUUUUGUCAUUUAGCUUAAUGGCUAUAGAAAUUCACCUUAAAGAUGAAUAAUUGAAGUGUCAUGCAUCGUCUGUUUUUUAAUCUCCACGUGAUAGACCGAGAAUUCUAAAAAGACUUCACCGAUAAUGACGGUGGAGAUUAAAAAACGUUCAUAAUUGCGGCCAACAAAACAAUUUGUGACUAAUAAUUCUAACCUUUUUAAAGAAAAACACGAAGUAGACAAGAAAAAGGAUGUAUCAAUAUGACAAUCAAUGGAAGUCCAAAGUCAACUCUAAAUGUUAACAUCAAAUUGAUUAACGUUGUAACUUGUAACACCUCGUUUUUUCAACUUAAAAAUUUCACAUAUAAAUUAAAGUAUUUCAACAUAAACAGAAUGUCACACUUCUUUUCAUAAAAUCAUAAACAGAAUAAAAUAACUAUUUAUCCUUCAAAUUCAACAGCAUAUCAUUUAUUACAUCGCAACGGAAUGUAUUCAACAUUUAAACAUCUUUUGCACCAAGGCCUCAACAUAAAAUCUCUUAAAGUUAUUCCAACAACAUGUUCAUGAAAGUUCAUAAAAUAAUACGUAAGGAAUAGAAAGCAACAACAAAAUUCUCAUCCCGUUACGUAUCAGGGCACCUAAGACACACGUGAGAGAUAGUCCACUCACGACAACAACUAACAGCAACUAUUCUCGAUCACCUGCAGGUUACCCAUAUGAAGGGUAACAAUUCCAAGCAGAAGGGGUGAGAUUUCAUAUUCAAAUAAUAAUAAGCAUAUAAUUCAUUAAAUGCAUUUAACAACUUAAACUUCAUCAAUUAAUAACAUUAACUCUUCUUAUAAUACUUCGUUAAUAACUCAAUCAAUUUCUAAUCAUCAUUAACUUCAUAUUCAUCACAUUAUAUACAACAUCAUAUAGCACAUAAUAAUCAGAUCAUAAACAUCAUCAUAUAACGACAUAAUCAUCACAUCAUAAACAUCAUCUUAUAACAAGAUAAACGAUACAUCAUAAACAUCAUCUUAUAACAGCAUAAACAACACAUCAUAAACAUCAUCUCAUAACGACAUAAACAACAACGAUUAAUAAAUAUUAAUACUUCACUUAGUUCUUUAUUAACAACUCAUUGACAAAUGACAACUUAACGACAACGACAAUGCGACUUCUACAUCUUAAACUCAACAUAUGCAACUUCAACUUCUUAAUCAUGCAUGUGGUACCAACCAGAGCAUCAAGCCCUCAACAUAAAGAGCAUAAAUACACUCACAGGGCAUCAAGCCCUCAACAUAAGAGCAAAAGCUCACAGAGCAUCAAGCCCUCAACUUCAAAUGAUUAUGCAUGGACUCAAAAACGUACAACUUAGACAAAUUCACAACUUAUAUGAUCCAAUAUCUUGGAAUAACAACUUACAACUUUACAACUUAGACCAACACUUGCAACUUAAUGACAAUAAUGGUUCAACAACAACAGAAACAGCAACAUAAACAUCUUGCAACAUAGCAACAUCAAUAAUAACAAUUUGAAUGAUAUAAACAAUAAUAAUUUCUAUAUCAUACAUUUUCAACACCUUAUAUAAAUAUCUUAAAUUAACCAACAAUCAUUAAUCAUUUGAUUCAGGCUCUCUUUAACUCUAUAACUUAAUAACAACUUCCAUUCUUAUCCAAAGAUCAACUCAAAACAUAGGUUAAAUACUCUUAAACAUCUUAAUUGAACUCAUAGUACUUCUAGUUUUGAGGUUUUGAAUUAUCCCAUAAGUUUUGGAUUAACUUAGAAAUGGUUAUGCUGAAUUUUCAUAAGAUUUCACUAAGACCUCUCUGGAGUAUUUUUUAUCAUAUCUCAAAAACCAAAAAUCAUUUUCAAAUCAAACCAAAGCCAUUGAAAAGCUAAUAAAAUUAUCUAAAACUUUCAUGUUUACAACUAGACACAGUUCAAAGCGGAAAGGGGUGAAAAAUAGUAAAAUAAGAAGGAUCUGAUUCACAAAAAUCGUGCCACGUUUUUAUGCCCAGAACCAUUGAACUUUCGGCCAACAAAAUUGUGCCACGCUUGCAAAAUCGUGACACGUUUUGACAGCAUCAGGUCCAGAAAUCUGCUUUUCAAAAAGUGCAAUUUUCACCAUUUCGCGCGUAAAAUUCAAACCGUUAAUCGGAUUUUGAUGCCGUUUUCGCCUACACGCUCCUGAAACUUGGCUCUAUCAUAAUCUACAGCUAUUUCAAGUCUCAACCAUCCCAAGAAUCAUUUUCCAAAACCUCACAUAAUCCCUUAUUUGCAAAAACGUUUAGACACCGACUUUUCAAGCGAAAAUCUCAAUUUUCAUCAACUCAACCCCAAAACUGGUUCUAAUCAUUGUACUGUGAAUAAUCUAAGGUCUGAACAUCGUUUCUUCAUUAAUUCAACAGGUUUCUAUCAUCUAAUCAACCAAUUACAACUUUUAACCCUAAUUUCCCAAAUUCCCAAAACUACAACCUACAACAUGUUAAAUCCAAUUUUCAGAAUUAUACAACUUAUAAUUAAAGAAUGUUAUCAUUCUAGGUUCUUCUCUUCUAUUGUUUUCUCCCUUUUUCUCCAAAAACUUGUUUUACGCGAUCCUUAUUUUCUAAUUCUAACUCUCCCCUUUUAUAUAAAUCCUUAACCUACUUAUUUUCUCUUAUUUCCAAAUCUACCCCCAAAGUCUCAAUAUUCUAUUCUAAUAUAUAUGUAUAAUAAAAUACUUCUAUAACAAAUAACAAAUAUAUCUCUAUAACAAAUAUAUUUAUGUACCAGAUAACAUAUAUAUUUCUUCACCAAAUUAGAUAUAUAUUUCUACACCAAAUAACAUAUAUAUUAUACUAAUAAAUACCAACAUAUAACAUAACAAAAUAUCACUCAUCAAAAUAAAUCGACUAAAUUAUAAAAAGACAUCUAAAUUCAAUAAAAUAAAUAAAUAUUAAAAUAGGGCGUUACAAACGUGCUUUCUAUCAUCGAUGAACCAGAGCAAAAUUACCAUUAGAUUCAAUCAAUGGUCAUGAUUUAUACAAAAUAAAAAUAAGAACAUUUAAGAAUUGCCUCGCACAAUCUUGCCCCUAUUAAACUUUUUUAUUUUUGGUAUUCAUCAUCUUCAACCUCCAUUCCAAUUUUUUCGUAAUAAAAAAAAAAAAAAAAACUCCAUUUCAAUUUAGGAGCAAUGCUACAAAAGAGAAUUUGCACAAAAAAUUGAGUGUGUCUUCAAAAGUUUACGGGGUUUGCUAAAAAUCUAGUUUAUGGGUUCAAUUGGAGGUGGUGACUAAUGAAAUUGGAGGUUUAACUCAUCCUUAAAAACCAGUUCAUAAGGUGAGUCACGCCCAGCACUCUUUGGGCUUACGUGAAUCGGUAGGUAUUUGGGCUUACGUGAAUCGAUAGGUAACUCUUGAAUUCGACAGGUUCUGAUACCAUAAUGAAAUUGGAGGCCUAACUCAUCCUUAAAAACUAAUUCAUAAGGUGAGAAUUGUCUCCUCUAUAUUAACUCUUAUCAAGAGUCUUAUCUUUUCGAUGUGGAACAUGAGUUUUUUUCAAUAAUGACCUUUAAAGUUUAAACACGCGGCAUCUUUGAAUUCUACAUAGAAAAAAAAAAUAGAAUUAUAGCGUGUUAUGUUUGUUUCUCUAGAGCAUGAGACAUUUCAUUGUUCAGUUUAUGUUGUCAUGGAAAGGCAUAUGAGUGAUGGGUGUACAUCAUCGAUCGGUGGUUUGAUUCUCGUGAAUAGAACAAAAAAAAUCUGAGCUCAAUGGUACAAAUCCUUACGAUGAAAGGUGAGAUAUAGUAGGAUUGUGUGUGGAUAGUUGUAAAUGUUAUCUUUUUUAAUUCUAGUAGAUCAAAAUUGUUAAUCUCAUUUCAUGGUAAAAAUUAAAUAGUCCAUUUGUGAGGGACUCAAUAGCUCCUUCACCUUAGACGUCACCCUUAAUUAAUAAGAAACUAACGGCGAGGGACUCAACUCCCUCACCUUAGACGUCACCAUUGAUUAAUAAGAAACUAACGAUUGAAGUAAAUAAACGAGAAAGAAACUCAAACUUCUUUCUAAACUUUCUUUCUCUUUCGUUCAUCAAGGAGGGGUGGUUUUUGACCUAGAAUCACCCCUCUACAUCUUUUUUCCCAUUUUCUUUCAAUCUAAAUAAGUGGUUUUCACAUACAAGUGUUUCCUUUUGUGUUUUUUGUGAUUUUGUCGUCUAAGUACAACGCUGUGUUGGUCGUCGUCUUGUGCGGCGUUUGAUUUCACGUCUUGUCGCGGCGUUCGUUUAGUUUCUAUUGAAAGAUUGACAUCGGUCAAUUAUAAAUCCAAUCAAUGAUUUGGGUGUGAAUGUUGCCGAUCUAGAAACAUGAGUAUUUCGGUGACUUAGAUUUAAUCAUAUUAGUUGUAGCAUUUUGUCAUUUUAUGUUAUUAACUUGGGUGCUGUGAGUUUGUUCGCAGUUUUACCCUUUACGUUUCUAGCGAUUUUUGUAUCUGAUGUACUCUAUCAAUCUGAAUGAAUGAAUAUCGUUUUGUUUUUAUUAAAAAAAAAAAAUAAAAAAAAAACUAACGGUUAAAAGUUUGCUCUACAUGCCUACAAUGAUAAUAAAUAGAGAUAAUUUACUACAACUUUUAAAACAAUGAUGCUCAUUUAUAGGAACUUUACCAUAAAUAAGUCUCCAAAGAAAAAAUGAUUUGGAUUGAGGAAUUGAAGGUUUCCAAAUAAGCUAUGUCCAUGAUUGAUCAUAUGCAGAAACUUGACAAAAACUAUCAGCAUCCUAAACUGAAAGAGAACCUGAUGAAGAACCCUUCUAAGCAAGAUAUUCAGUGGAAAACUAUACCCCGAUAUUUAUCAAAUUUCAUAUUUCACCAAUUCAACUCUCUCUAUCAAUAGUAUAUAUAUAAAGUAAGAUUUUUUAUGACACGUGUCACUUCCACGUUUAUUCGCAAUAUUUUUAUUUUUUUUCUAAUUUUUCAAAACCAAUAUUUAAUUUGGCAUAAAUAUCUCAACAAACUUUUGAUCUUAUCUAUUAAAUAUUUUACUUAACUAUUUAUUGAAUUCCUAAUAUUUUAUGUAAUAGAAAUAUCUCAACAAAAUUACAUACGAUACCCUUCAAUUAAAAAUCAUCAAUCAAUCAAUAGUAUAUAUAGUAAGGUUUCUUAUGCCACGUGUCACUUUCAUGUUUAUUCGCAAUAUUUUUAUUAUUUUUAUAUUUUUUAAAAUCAAUAUUUAAUUUUGUAAAAAAAAAAUCAAUAUUUAAUUUGGCAUAAAUAUUUCAACAAAAUUUUAACCUUAGGGAUGGCAAUGGGUACCCUAUCCCAAUGGAUAGGGUACUAUAGUACCCUAUCCAUUGGGUACUCAUUGCCAUAAAUGUAUUGGUCUAUUCUCCACUAUCAUAAAUAUAAAGUGAAAUAUAUUGAAUUGGAAAUGAUGAAAGUAGUAUUAAUUAGAGUUAUAAUUGAAAAAAAAAGUAAUUAAUAAUUGUAUUGAAAAGUUAAAUGCAUCAAGAUUUUUGAGACAAUAUUUUUUACAAAUAACUUAGUUAUUAUGGGACGGAGGGAGUAACACUUUAACAUGACAAUGAAAAGUAAAUUUAAGAAUUAAAAUGCAAGAAAUGAAGAGAAUGUUUCUCUAACACAAAACUAUUUUUUUUUUCUCUUUCACUUAUACACUUUUUUAAUGUGUAAAAUAAAAAAUAAAAAAAACUUAUGUAUAAUGAGACGGAGGGAGUAGUUAGUAAGAACAAAGUCGUCAAGGAACCAAUUAACUCUUGAUUUCACUUCCCAAAAACGUCUUGAUAGUGCUAUACUCCCUCCGUCCCAAAUUAUAAGCAAAAAAACAAAAAUCACACUUAUUAAGAAAACUAAAACAUAAAAAUUUGGAGUAUAGUUUUUUGUGUUUUCGUUGGAAAAAGUUUUAUAGGAAGAUGUAAAAACAAUUUUCAUUGGCUAUUGAUUAUGGAAAAAAUGAAAGAAAGAGAAAAUUGAAUGUAAUUUGCAUUUAAUUUUAUGAGAAUAACAAAAAAAAAUCUUGGAAAAGAUUAAAAUUUGUCUUUUUUCCUUAUAUUUUGGGACAAAGAAAAUGAAUUUCUUUUGCUUAUAUUAUGGAACGGAGGGAGUACUUGGUUAAGCUGGAUUGAGCAUUCAAUUCUAAUUUAAGGGCCUUUAAUUUACCUUAAAGAAUAAACAUAGGACAACCAACCACAUAAUUAUUUAUACCAAACAUUUUCCACCACGUGGGUGAUAUCUGGAAGAUGAGAGUCCAUUUAAGUGAGUCAAUGUGACGAAAAAAAAGAUAAAAUGGCAAUUUUAGGAUCGUAAAUUUCUGAAAAUAAUGGAAGUAGUAAUUCUUUUAACGUUUUCAUUGUUUUAAAAAAAUUAUCCAAUCAUAUUUUAUAUGCAAUUUUUGUUUUUUAGAUUAAUUAAACAAUAAAUUUUGUUAACCAGUGUCCUAAGGGUGAUGAUUAAGGAAUUCAAAUGUAAAAGUUUUGUCUUGUAAUUGUAGGAUGUUACAUUUGAUCAAGUAAUGAUUAUACUACUUUUUAUUAAAAACUUACUUGAUUUAGUUGUUUAACCAGUGUGAACACUAGUUAACAUUCUCCUUAAAUAAUUGAUGUUUCUGAAAUAUAAUAUAUAUAUAUAUAUAUAUAUAGCUCAGAUACAUCACUUAUUUAAUGAAGAGUUUUUUUUUUUUCCUUCUCUUAAUUAACGAAUAAAACUAACACUUAUAUAUCUACCAAAAAAAAAAAAAAACUAACACUUAUAUAAUAUAGUUCGGAUACAAUAUAUUUAUAUAAUAUAAUCCGGAUACAUCACUUAUAUAAUCAACAUUGCUAUUUACCGCGACAAGUUUUGUCCCGAAUGCAUCAAGAAUGAAAAUAAGCCAAUUAAAAACAGCUGUUAGUGGAAAUCAUGGGAGGUGGGGGAGAAAAAGAUGGAAAUCAUAAACUAAUGGAUGGAUGGCAUACAUGCCACAUGUGUCUGGAAAAUCUCGGGACAGUUUUAUUUCGUGUGAAAUAGCAUUUUUCCUUAUAUAAUAUAGUCCAGGUACAAGGCAACUAUCACCGGAUGAGGUUUUAUCUUUUUAUUAAUGAAUAAAACUUUUUUUAAGAAGCUAAAUGCAAAAUAUAUUAAAAACCAAAUUAGUUAAGCACAAGAUGUGCCAAACGAAAAACUGUGUAUAACGUCAAAGUAACAAACUCGAUAAAGAAAGAAACCACAAAUAAUAAAAAUCAAAAGCGAAAUUCAGUUUAUGUGUCUUUAGCCACCACAAAAAAUGAAAUUUAAUAUUGUCGAGAAGUUGAUCCUUAGAAGACACGUUGUUAUUGAAAUUUCUCGAGUUUCUCUCCUUCCAAAUUCUCUCCUUCGAAAUAACUCAAAGACAUGUCAGCACACCACUUUAAAACAAGAGCUAAUGUCCUUCCUGAAAGCAUGCGCGCCAAAAAAUUGUUGUGCGUGACAACCAAUAUUUGAUGGAACGACGGUAGUUUUACCCUACCAGAUCAACAAACACCCUACCAGAUCAACAAACAGGGAAAAUAAAUAAAAAAUAUUUUUGCAAAGUAAUUAAACGGAUUCUAAUGUUUAAUAGGAACCGAUCGAGGACAACAUAGAAAUCAUGCUGGAAUUUGAAGAAGAAAUACAAACCUAAUUAAAGAGAGGGGCUAAGUAUUUCCAAGCUGGAACUUGAAAAAGAAAAACCAUGCUCUAAUUAAGUAACUAAGUAAGGUAGUACAUUACAACAAUUGAGAUAAGUACGACACAUUAUGAUGAUUAUGACUUAUGAGCUGUUAAAUGAUGUUGUAGGAUUACUUUUUUCUUGUCAAAAAUAAAUAAAUGAUGUUGUAGGAGAAACAUUAUUAUAAACAUUAUUAUAACUUACAAGGACUAAUGUUUAAAAAAAAAAACUUACAAGGACUAAUAAUGAGACAGAACGAAAGUGUACGUGAGUGUAGGAGACACGUUAUUAUAACAUUUUAUAAAUAUUUAAACGUUGAUAAUAAUUUUGUCGAUCUAUAAACCACUACCAAUUCCUAGUUAAAUAUAUAAUAAUUUUUAUUAUAUUUGUUAGUUGAUGGUAAAAGAUGAAUAUAAUUUGUUACUAUAUUUUUUUUUGACAAAAUAAUUUGUUGCUAUUUAAAAUUCAUAAAUAUAGUCUAUACAUAUAAUUUUAAUAAAAAUAAAAAUUCACCCAAAAAAAAAUCAAAAAUUUCAUAAAAAAAUAAAUAUUGUUUAUAAUUCACGAGCGUUGUCGCAGUACAAAAAUGGAUAGAUGGAUACCCAGUACUAGUAAUUAAUGAAGUUAAUUGGUAAAAUUUCACUCUUACUGGUGGUUGAUGGUAGGGGUGUUUACGGUGCGGUUUGGUUCGGUUUUGAGAGAAAAAGUCAUCCAAACCGCAAGAUAAAAAAACAUGCGGUUUGUGUAACACCCACAGCUGACGAGGGCAGGGGAGUGGUCACCGGUGCACAAGGCACGCCAAUGAGCGGCUCCCGACAGCUUCUAGAGGAACCGAAUCACAUCUGAAUGAGAGGGAUCCUGAGGCCGUGUAGGUGUGGGACUACAUGAAUGAAGGAAUGCUUAUAAGAAUUGUUUGGUAAUACCUAUAUCAACAAGGUGCAUCUUCUUUUUGGUACCCUAUUCCAUAAGAACUCCACAGUUAAGCGUGCUUGACUUGGAGUAGUCUUUGGAUGGGUGACCUACCGGGAUUCCCGAUAAGCAUGCGAGUGAGGACAAAACACGCUGAAAAGACUCGUGUUGGUUUGUAGGGUCAGUCGACAAUGCUUAAAGUCGUCUGGGAUGUUACAGUUUGGUUUGGUUCGGUUGGCUUUAAAAUAAAAUCCGAACCAAACCAAACCAAUAUGGUUUGGGUUGUAUCGGUUGGUGCGGUUUUUUUCGUGACGAUACGAUUUUUUGUUUCCAACAUUAAAAUCAAGAUAAAAAGCUGAAACACAAUAUAUUUUCAACAAUGUUUUAAAUUUCAUCAAACAUUACAAUUUCAUUUUCAUUACAAUGUUUCCAACAACAUAAACCAAAUUAAAAACGCGGACAAAAAGUAAUCUUAUUUUGUAAGAAAUGCAAAAGACUGAGAUGUUCUCAUUCUCUAAAAGUUAAGUAGCACAUAAAUACAUUUUUAAAUAAAAAGCAAAUAAUGAACUUAACAAGAGAAAAAAAAUAUGACAUUUUAUAAAAGUUUUCAUUGAGUUUCUAUGAGUAUUGGUCUUGAUGACAUAUGUUUAAUUAACAUUUUUCUUAUGUUAUGGUUUGGUUUGGUUUUGUAUCUAUUUGACAGUCUCUUUGUACUUUGAGCGACCUCUUUAGUACGCCUUAUGCUAAAGAGGUGUCUCUCUUAUUGUGAAUAUAUAUCAUUUUACCUUCUUAAAAAAAAGUUAAUUGGUAAAAAAAAAAAAAAUUUCUCUCUUGAUUUAUAUGAAAUGACAUUUUUUUUUGGAACAUGGAGGGUAUUGAUUUUUACACCUUUUCAAAAGCCACUCAAGGAUGAAUAUAGAUUUUUCAUGCAUCAAACACAAGAAUCAUUAGCAUAACAUGCUUUGGAAAACACACACAUAUACUUAAAUUAAUGGUUGGAGUAUCAAAUUUAAAAAUAUUGUUGUCAAUACAUACCCCGUCAAUCCUCCUUUUUUACCCAAUAAACAUUGAAAUGUUGCUUCUUUCGUUAAGCAUAAAAACAUCAAAGUCUAGCAAAAUGUUGUUUUUGCGAUGACACAUUUCAUAUAGUUUAAAGGAUGCAUGAUUCGAUUACAAAAACAAAAUACUAAUAAUUCUAGCACAAAGUUUAAAGCUAAGAUUAUAAAGCUUCAUAGCAUGUGGAUAUUCAUUUAGAAAUAUAGGAUUAGGAUUGCCCCUUUCAUCACGGGUCUAAUAGCACCACUUGUCACUACAUGUUAAAAAUGUCCUCUAGUACAACACCGCUUUUUACUUGAUUCCCCUUGUCCAUGAAAAAAUCAAACAAUAUUUGGACACAAAAAUUUGCCCCCACUUUCCUUUUUCUUCUGCCCUAGUUUGUUUGAAAACUCAUAUUGAUCAAAUUUGGCUAUGAAUUCAAACAAAAAAUUCACUCUGCCCAUUGCAUGUGUGGGACCCACAUAUAAAUCCAUGAAGGAUUUCAAUGUCCAUCCAAGUCAAUGAUUCAACAUAUAACAUUGAAUAAUUUAAUUCCAAUUUGCAGUAUUAUGAUUUAGAUUGAUUGCUGCAAUACGGUCCGUGAAUGUAACUCACGAGAAAGAGGUAUCAAGGUAUUUUAUUUUAUUUUUAACAAAUAAAAUUUCAAGGUCUUGUUCACCAUAUAAACCUCCUCACUCUCACUCAAUUCUCUUAAGUGUAUGACUUCAUAGUAAACUACACUACUUUCUUUAAAACAUGGCUAACUAUGCUAUAGCCAAUGUUUUGAUCCUUCUCUUGAACUUGAGUACCUUACUCAAUGUUCUUGCUUGCCCUUAUUGUCCUUACCCAAGCCCUAAACCACCUUCACACCACCCUCCUAUUGUUAAGCCACCAGUUCACAAACCACCAAAGCAUUCUCCUACUCCUAAACCACCAGUUCAUAAACCACCAAGAUAUCCUCCUAAACCAUCACCUUGUCCACCCCCAUCAUCAACACCAAAACCACCUCAUCAUCCCAAACCCCCAGCAGUACACCCACCACAUGUUCCAAAACCACAUCCACCUUAUGUUCCAAAACCACCAAUUGUUAAACCUCCAAUAGUACAUCCACCUUACGUACCAAAACCCCCAGUUGUGAAACCACCACCAUAUGUCCCUAAACCACCUGUUGUGAGACCACCCUAUGUUCCUAAACCACCAGUUGUACCUGUAACACCACCUUAUGUUCCUAAGCCACCAAUUGUUUUCCCACCACAUGUUCCUCUACCUCCAGUUGUACCAUCACCACCACCUUAUGUACCAACACCUCCAAUUGUGAAACCACCAAUUGUUUUUCCACCACAUGUUCCUCUACCUCCAGUUGUGCCUGUAACACCACCUUAUGUGCAACCACCACCUAUUGUAACUCCACCAACACCAACACCUCCAAUUGUGACACCACCAACACCACCUAGUGAAACACCUUGUCCUCCACCACCACUUGUACCUUAUCCACCACCACCAGCACAACAAACAUGUUCCAUUGAUGCUUUGAAGUUGGGUGCAUGUGUUGAUGUGCUUGGUGGACUCAUACAUAUUGGUAUAGGUGGAAGUG